GGUCGAUCAAAUCCCUGUUGUAUAAGCUUGAAGUUUACAAGAGGUUUCUAAUCGAGUUAUGAUUUAGGAGAUAAGGGUUACUUAUGUUUUGGAGUUAUUUAGACAUAAUGUUAUUCCUAUUAGGAAUUGGUUUUGGUGUUUUAUAUAAAAGAAGUGCUAAGGUCUGCAGAAGUUGUAAGGAGUUUUAGAGAGAGAUUAAGAUUGAGAGAUUGUGUGAGAAGUUUUGAGUUAUCUUCUCUGAGCUAAUAAGAGAGUUAUUCUUUAAAUAUUUUUGUGUUCUUAAUUUUUCUUGCUAAAACUAGAACCCCAACUCUAAAAGAUGGCUAACAUCCAGACGAAAUCGAUGUGUUUGGACGAUCUUAAUGAUCGCGAAAUACUUGAGUAUAGAUUGGAGUGGGAAGAUUUCACCGAAAUAAAGAUGAAAAGUGAUGGAAAUUGAAACUUUUCCUAACUUUGAUUUGCAGAUUGUCUUUUUUUUCUUUUUUUUCUUUUUUUUCUUUUUUAUACGAUGAUGAUGAUGAUGAUGAUUGAUUGAUUGAUUGAUUGAUUGAUUGAUGACGCUGUUUAAUUUCCUCAUCAGCUUAAAUCUCAUGCAAAGAUGUACAAAGAAUUUGUUAAUAACAUGAACUUCUCCGACUAUGUCAAGAACAUGUCCAAGAACUCCGAAUGGGGAGAUGAAGUCACAUUAAAAGCCGCUGCUGAUGUGUAUGUGUUCAAAAUAGUACUCAUUACAUCAAUCAAACAGACUCCAUUCAUUGAGGUUUUGCCCAAGUCUCAAAAAAAACCCGACAGAGUCAUUCAUUUAAGCUAUCUCUCAGGGAUCCAUUUCAACUCCAUCCACAAAAAAAAAGAUUCAGGUUUAGGUUCUGCCUCGAUGAAGAAGCUACAGAAGAAGAAGGAGAGGGAGCAGAAGAAAAAUGAGGAGGAGCAGAAGAAAAAAGA
This is a non-coding RNA of Camelina sativa (false flax), 942 nucleotides long. The record is from RefSeq and is a predicted model, not a curated record. NCBI's taxonomy places the organism in Eukaryota, Viridiplantae, Streptophyta, Magnoliopsida, Brassicales, Brassicaceae.